CCUACGGGAGGCAGCAGUGAGGAAUAUUGGUCAAUGGACGAGAGUCUGAACCAGCCAAGUAGCGUGAAGGAUGACUGCCCUAUGGGUUGUAAACUUCUUUUAUAAAGGAAUAAAACGAGGCACGUGUGCCUUUUUGCAUGUACUUUAUGAAUACGGAUCGGCUAACUCCGUGCCAGCAGCCGCGGUAAUACGGAGGAUCCGUGCGUUAUCCGGAUUUAUUGGGUUUAAAGGGAGCGUAGAUGGGUUGUUAAGUCAGUUGUGAAAGUUUGCGGCUCAACCGUAAAAUGGCAAUUGAUACUGGCAGUCUUGAGGACAGUUGAGGUAGGCGGAAUGCGUGGUGUAGCGGUGAAAUGCUUAGAUAUCACGAAGAACCCCGAUUGCGAAGGCAGCUUACUAAACUGUGACUGACAUUGAUGCUCGAAAGUGUGGGUAGCAAACAGGAUUAGAUACCCUUGUAGUC
Molecule: ribosomal RNA, 460 nt
Filed under: uncultured bacterium
Lineage: Bacteria
Description: partial 16S ribosomal RNA
Rfam family: Bacterial small subunit ribosomal RNA
Source: RNAcentral